UACGGGGGGAGCAAGCGUUGUUCGGAUUUACUGGGCGUAAAGGGCGCGUAGGCGGUCAGCACAAGUCAGUUGUGAAAUCUCCGGGCUUAACUCGGAAAGGUCAACUGAUACUGUGCGACUAGAGUGCAGAAGGGGCAACUGGAAUUCUCGGUGUAGCGGUGAAAUGCGUAGAGAUCGGGAGGAACACCGGCGGCGAAGGCGGCUGCCUGGACCAGUCCUGACGCUGAGGCGCGAAAGCUAGGGGAGCAAACAGG
This 254-nucleotide ribosomal RNA is filed under the name uncultured bacterium. RNAcentral describes it as "partial 16S ribosomal RNA". It matches the Rfam family "Bacterial small subunit ribosomal RNA", at positions 524 to 776 of the family's 1533-position model. The record is from RNAcentral.